UAUCCAAAGCCAUAGUUUUGAAGAUUUGCGUGAGCCUCUAUUAUGGAGAUAAGCGUAAUAUUCUUCAUGAACAUUCUCCUAAAUGUAAGACUGACAUUCCAAGCCGUAAUUCUGUGACAACGAAAAAAUUGGUUCAGGAACUAAAAAUCCAUUAUCAUUCUUCAAAUCGUGAUUAUCCUCUUCUUCGCAGCCGCUAUCACCAGACAAUUCGGCGCGGGUGAGCACUCGUCGGGGAGAGCCACAACCAAAGGAUCUCGUAGACGGCAAGCUAAAACUAACUUUGAGAUAACCAGUACUGGUCCUAUUAAACAGUUUGAUGGAUUGAAAUGCAGACGGCGUCUCUGAAAACCUAGAGACAAUAUUG
This 364-nucleotide long non-coding RNA is filed under the name Nicotiana benthamiana. RNAcentral's name for it is "long non-coding RNA (NBEN_LNC010098)". The record is from RNAcentral. Lineage: Eukaryota; Viridiplantae; Streptophyta; Magnoliopsida; Solanales; Solanaceae.